RNAcentral lists this ribosomal RNA (253 nucleotides) under uncultured bacterium. Its description in RNAcentral is "partial 16S ribosomal RNA". It matches the Rfam family "Bacterial small subunit ribosomal RNA", at positions 524 to 776 of the family's 1533-position model. The record is from RNAcentral.
UACGUAGGUGGCAAGCGUUGUCCGGAUUUACUGGGUGUAAAGGGCGUGUAGGCGGAACAGCAAGUCAGAAGUGAAAUCCCCGGGCUUAACCCGGGAACUGCUUCUGAAACUGCAGUCCCUGAGUACUGGAGAGGAAAGCGGAAUUCCUAGUGUAGCGGUGAAAUGCGUAGAUAUUAGGAGGAACACCAGUGGCGAAGGCGGCUUUCUGGACAGAGACUGACGCUGAGGCGCGAAAGCGUGGGGAGCAAACAGG